Molecule: long non-coding RNA, 589 nt
Organism: Dromaius novaehollandiae (emu)
Lineage: Eukaryota; Metazoa; Chordata; Aves; Casuariiformes; Dromaiidae
Exons: 5
Source: RefSeq, a predicted model, not a curated record
CGGGCGUCCGGGGGCCGCGGUUGCACCUCGGUGGUGUGUUGUCAGCGGGUGCCAGCGCGUCUCGCUUUCUGUGCUUUCUUGGAUAAUUCUUAGAGUCAACGUAACAGUUUUCCUUGAUAGCAACUGGUCAUGCAACUACACUCUACUGAGCAAGUUCACUUCUGCAGCUAGCCUGAAAAGACAUGUUCCAUGUACCAGGAGGGAGACAUUACCAUGUCUCAGGAUGAUCUUCUGGAGCUGUAUAUUUAACCUUAUGAAAGACCAAGAUUCUCUCGCCUGUUUUCUCUGAAAUCAAUAAGAAGACACGCAGCCCCAUUUAUAUAAGGAGCAGCAAUUCCCAGAGAAAAUAGUGUUUAAGAUGAUGCACAUAACUGACAAAAAUAAAGCAAUUGACCAAGGAAGAGAGAACAUGAGAUGGAACGUAUCAGAAAUGUGAAAGGAAAGGAAGAAAGGAAGAGGAACUGACUGGCAUGUUGUGAAACCUUCUCAAGGUAACUUACCAACAUUUCUAAAAAUUCUGAAAGUGUCAACUGUGGUAUGAGACCCCCAUAAACAAGUCAUUUCCAAGUGAAGGUGUAUGAUGAACUUA